Molecule: long non-coding RNA, 685 nt
Organism: Solanum tuberosum (potato)
Lineage: Eukaryota; Viridiplantae; Streptophyta; Magnoliopsida; Solanales; Solanaceae
Exons: 3
Source: RefSeq, a predicted model, not a curated record
UUUCCUUUUUGGCACAAUUUGAAUUACUCUGUAGUAACUUUCUGGUUGAAAAGAAGGCCUAACAUGCACAUACCAACAAAUUUUUCCUUCUAACUUGCACUUCAUAUCUCUUAUUCUACUUGAUUUUCCUAAAAUCAAAUACACGCAAGCAUAAAGAUUAAUGGUAUAUUGAAUUCUCUUCCUCUCAAUGCAGUUUCAUUGCUUUGGCUAAUUUAUAUUAAUUAAGGAAAACGAAAAUGUAGAGUAGGGUGAGAAUUUUGGCUUAAAUAUGAUAUUAGAUCAGAAUGUAGCAUUUGGUUUAGGUGUUGACUGGGAAACUCACAGGAAUGUGAGAUUUAUGCUUAUGCAAGUUUAUUCUUUUGAUGAAUUCAACUGCCAACUCCCCAAGGAGGUCAAGGGUAAUCUUGAUAUUCUCAUUUGCUGGUCAGGUUGGUAAUUCACUUUUCACUGGUUUACUGUUUCUUUCUUUUUCUUGUUCAAAGUAUCUUUUAUAGUUUUGAAUUGAUAUUUAAACUUAGGAAUAACUUGCGCCUCCAACUAAUGGAGACACCAUGUUAGUGAUAAUUUCUUCCCUUUAGCAUAAGGAUACUCCUAGGAUGAUUGAAGUACAAAAUCAAUUGUCUUUUGUACUCUGUGUAGUACGUAUGUAUUUGCGUUAGACUAUGCUCAUGUCUAUCUAAAGUAU